Long non-coding RNA from Diprion similis, 403 nucleotides. RefSeq lists it as uncharacterized. The transcript is spliced from 2 exons. The record is from RefSeq and is a predicted model, not a curated record. NCBI's taxonomy places the organism in Eukaryota, Metazoa, Arthropoda, Insecta, Hymenoptera, Diprionidae.
UCGUGUCCGCAGUGUGACUACGUAUAUUAUUGUCUGUCCCCCGGUUACAAUCCUUUCUUUUCAUAAAUCGUAGUUAUCAAAGUAUCUCCGUCGCUGUGCUGCCUGCGGUACGCUGUGAAAUUGAUCGAUAACGAAGAGAAACAAGGAGGAGGCGUUAUACAAUAGGUCGGAGGAUAAUCGAAACACAGGCGUCCUGCGGUCUUGGUGAAUGAUCACGUUUUGGAAAACGACUUGGGUUCAUCGGUCCUGCAUCUGGUUAUAAAUUAGAUUGAAAAAAUUUUUUGUUUUGAAUCAAUAAAAAACAAACAAAAAAACACAAUAGUGAAAGGAAUUGACUACACGUGAAGCAAAGAACAAAGAUAAUUAGAAAUAAUCAAAGAAAUUAGAUAGCUAAUUGUGCUUU